AGACAUGAUAAUGAAGGCGAAAUAAAAUUCAUUCCAUAACAUAAUUUGUUUUCACAGUUGCCCCUUGCCUUUAUUCAACACUUCCACUGCACAAUACCGCGGGCGGGCUAAUCCAAAACCGGGAAAUCGAAAAUAGGCGUGGAGUGUACCAGGCAGGAGAUCGGCCGCGGGCCAAUCUUCUGAACAAUCUUGUAUAAGAGGAAUCGGGCAUCAGUGCCUUUUCUUCUUCUUCCAACUCUUUUUGUGAUUUGGGCAGUCCGUCUGGCUCAGGGAAUGGCCGCCUCUUCUCCUCCUCUUCCAGAUUAUGAGAGUUCACUGUGGAAUGCUCAGGCACUACAGCAUCCUUGCGCAUUUUCGAGAUUUUUGUCACAAAAUGCACAUUUUCAACCAGACUUUUCACACCUCCUGAUUGCCGUACCAUUUUUACAAGAUCAUCUUUCGCGGUUUCGGAACCAGCUUCAGCUUCUGCUAUGGAUUCUUUCUGCCCAAAACCCUCAAAAGAUAUUAGAUUGAGUUGAAAUUUGGGUGAAGCAAAAAAGGACUAAUAGUAAACAGCCUUUUUGUCGAUUCUUAUUUGGGGGUUUUAAUACCCUUAAACACUGAAUAACAAAUAUCAGUUAGAAGUUAAAAGAUGGCUGUUGGUUUUUAAUUUUUUCUUAAAAAAAAAAAGUUUAGAUAAUCUCUGUUAAAGCUAAACUCAAACUCGUAAAUAUUAUGUUUAAGCUUUUGAUUAUCGUUGCUCGAAAUUCUGAAAGUUUUUAGAAUUUUUUUCAAUUGAAGAAGAAACUGUAUAGAGUUGUGUAUAGAGUUUAAUGCUUUUCAAGAUAAACUUGUUUUCAUCCCAGCUCACGAAUAUAUGAACAUUGAAGCUAGAUUCCCUCACUAAACUGGAAUUGGUUUCAAAAAUCUAUCUUAAGCUCUAGCUCUUGGGUUUUUGGAAUUCUGGAUCUUUGUGUAAUCUUUUCCAAAAAUUAAUAUAUAAAUCUGGCUGAUUAAAGAUCAAAAAAGCCUUUGCCUUUACUGAUUAAAAAAAAUGUCAAAGAAUUAGCUUCAUAGCUUUGAGCUAGUUCAAAAUGUAAAAUUCUAAGUAAUCUUUUGUAAACAGUAUGUGUAUUUGAAUGGAAAUACUGAAAUGAGCGAUCUCUGAUGUUUUAUUAUCUGUGAAAAUUACUUAAAUAUGAUGUGUUUAAGCGGAUAUAUUAUUGUAGAAUUGAGAUACCCUAGAGCAACCAAUAAUAAAUGUUAAUAAGAAGUUAACCAUCUAUCAGAAUUAAUUUCAUAGAU
This is a long non-coding RNA of Cryptomeria japonica (Japanese cedar), 1284 nucleotides long. RefSeq lists it as uncharacterized. The record is from RefSeq and is a predicted model, not a curated record. NCBI's taxonomy places the organism in Eukaryota, Viridiplantae, Streptophyta, Pinopsida, Cupressales, Cupressaceae. The transcript has 2 exons.